This 478-nucleotide ribosomal RNA is filed under the name uncultured bacterium. RNAcentral describes it as "partial 16S ribosomal RNA". It matches the Rfam family "Bacterial small subunit ribosomal RNA", at positions 28 to 507 of the family's 1533-position model. The record is from RNAcentral.
GAUGAACGCUGGCGGCGUGCUUAACACAUGCAAGUCGAACGAGAAGUGGAGACGGAAACCUUCGGGCGGAAGACUUUAUUUCGAGUGGCGGACGGGUGAGUAACGCGUGGGUAACCUGCCUCAUACAGGGGGAUAACAGUUGGAAACGACUGUUAAUACCGCAUAAGACCACAGCACCGCAUGGUGCGGGGGUAAAAACUCCGGUGGUAUGAGAUGGACCCGCGUUCGAUUAGCCAGUUGGCGGGGUAACGGCCCACCAAAGCGACGAUCGAUAGCCGAUCUGAGAGGAUGACCGGCCACAUUGGGACUGAGACGCGGCCCAAACUCCUACGGGAGGCAGCAGUGGGGAAUAUUGCACAAUGGGGGAAACCCUGAUGCAGCGACGCCGCGUGAGUGAAGAAGUAUUUCGGUAUGUAAAGCUCUAUCAGCAGGGAAGAAAAUGACGGUACCUGAGUAAGAAGCCCCGGCUAACUACGUG